RNAcentral lists this ribosomal RNA (588 nucleotides) under Psychromonas sp. N05V. Its description in RNAcentral is "partial 16S ribosomal RNA". Lineage: Bacteria; Pseudomonadati; Pseudomonadota; Gammaproteobacteria; Alteromonadales; Psychromonadaceae. The record is from RNAcentral.
UUGAAACCCACGGCAUAUAGCCACAAACUUCUAAUAGACAUCGUUUACKGCGGGGACUACCGGGGUAUCAAAUCCCGUUUGCUCCCCACGCCUUCGCGCCUCAGUGUCAGDDACUGUCCAGGUGGCCGCCUUCGCCACUGGUAUUCCUUCAGAUCUCUACGCAUUUCACCGCUACACCUGAAAUUCUACCACCCUCUACAAAACUCUAGUCAACCAGUUUCAAAUGCAGUUCCAAGGUUGAGCCCUGGGCUUUCACAUCUGACUUAAUUAACCACCUACGCGCGCUUUACGCCCAGUAAUUCCGAUUAACGCUUGCACCCUCCGUAUUACCGCGGCUGCUGGCACGGAGUUAGCCGGUGCUUCUUCUGCGAGUAACGUCACAGAUGAUGGAUAUUAACCAUCACCCUUUCCUCCUCGCUGAAAGUGCUUUACAACCCGAAAGCCUUCUUCACACACGCGGCAUGGCUGCAUCAGGGUUUCCCCAUUGUGCAAUAUUCCCCACUGCUGCCUCCCGUAGGAGUCUGGACCGUGUCUCAGUUCCAGUGUGGCUGGUCAUCCUCUAAGACCAGCUAGGGAUCGUCGCCUUGG